This 327-nucleotide ribosomal RNA is filed under the name uncultured bacterium. RNAcentral's name for it is "bacterial SSU rRNA". It matches the Rfam family "Bacterial small subunit ribosomal RNA", at positions 534 to 859 of the family's 1533-position model. The record is from RNAcentral.
GCAAGCGUUGUCCGGAUUUAUUGGGCGUAAAGAGCUCGUAGGCGGCCUGUCGCGUCGACGUGAAAGUCCACGGCUCAACUGUGGGAUUGCGGUCGAUACGGGCAGGCUAGAGUGCGGCAGGGGAGACUGGAAUUCCUGGUGUAGCGGUGAAAUGCGCAGAUAUCAGGAGGAACACCGGUGGCGAAGGCGGGUCUCUGGGCCGUUACUGACGCUGAGGAGCGAAAGCGUGGGGAGCGAACAGGAUUAGAUACCCUGGUAGUCCACGCUGUAAACGUUGGGCGCUAGGUGUGGGGACCCUUCCCGGGUUUCUGUGCNGUAGCUAACGCA